UUGGAGGGCAAGUCUGGUGCCAGCAGCCGCGGUAAUUCCAGCUCCAAUAGCGUAUAUUAAAGUUGUUGCAGUUAAAAAGCUCGUAGUUGAACCUUGGGCCUGGCUGGCCGGUCCGCCUCACCGCGUGCACUGGUUCGGCCGGGCCUUUCCCUCUGGGGAGCCGCAUGGUCUUCACUGAUCGUGUCGGGGAACCAGGACUUUUACUGUGAAAAAAUUAGAGUGUUCAAAGCAGGCCUAUGCUCGAAUACAUUAGCAUGGAAUAAUAGAAUAGGACGUGUGGUUCUAUUUUGUUGGUUUCUAGGACCGCCGUAAUGAUUAAUAGGGACAGUCGGGGGCAUCAGUAUUCAAUUGUCAGAGGUGAAAUUCUUGGAUUUAUUGAAGACUAACUACUGCGAAAGCAUUUGCCAAGGAUGUUUUCAUUAAUCAGGAACGAAAGUUAGGGGAUCGAAGACGAUCAGAUACCGUCGUACGUGUAACCACCUAUGGAUCUUCGAGUUGGUUGGCUUGUGUCUG
RNAcentral lists this ribosomal RNA (513 nucleotides) under uncultured Ascomycota. Its description in RNAcentral is "SSU rRNA". It matches the Rfam family "Eukaryotic small subunit ribosomal RNA", at positions 548 to 1069 of the family's 1831-position model. The record is from RNAcentral. Lineage: Eukaryota; Fungi; Ascomycota.